GGGCGCGUAGCUCAGCCGGUUAGAGCGCAUCACUGAUAAUGAUGAGGUCCCUGGUUCGAGUCCAGGCGCGCCCA
Molecule: non-coding RNA, 74 nt
Organism: Parcubacteria group bacterium CG1_02_44_65
Lineage: Bacteria
Source: Rfam